This 445-nucleotide ribosomal RNA is filed under the name uncultured bacterium. RNAcentral describes it as "bacterial SSU rRNA". It matches the Rfam family "Bacterial small subunit ribosomal RNA", at positions 29 to 506 of the family's 1533-position model. The record is from RNAcentral.
ACAAACGCUGGCGGCAUGCCUAACACAUGCAAGUCGAACGAACUAAAAUAAGCUUGCUUAUUUUAGUUAGUGGCAAACGGGUGAGUAACGCGUGGGAAUCUACCCAUCAGUAAGGAAUAACAUUUGGAAACAGAUGCUAAUACCGUAUAACCUCGAGAGAGUAAAGAUUUAUCGCUGAUGGAUGAGCCCGCGUCAGAUUAGGUAGUUGGUAGGGUAAUAGCCUACCAAGCCUACGAUCUGUAGCUGGUUUGAGAGAAUGAUCAGCCACACUGGAACUGAGACACGGUCCAGACUUCUACGGAAGGCAGCAGUGGGGAAUAUUGGACAAUGGGCGAAAGCCUGAUCCAGCAAUGCCGCGUGAGUGAUGAAGGCCUUAGGGUUGUAAAGCUCUUUCAGUAGGAAAUAUAAUGAAGGUACCUACAAAAGAAGCCCCGGCUAACUCCGU